Molecule: ribosomal RNA, 496 nt
Filed under: uncultured bacterium
Lineage: Bacteria
Description: partial 16S ribosomal RNA
Rfam family: Bacterial small subunit ribosomal RNA
Source: RNAcentral
GAUGAACGCUGGCGGCGUGCCUAAUACAUGCAAGUCGAGCGAACGGACGAGAAGCUUGCUUCUCUGAUGUUAGCGGCGGACGGGUGAGUAACACGUGGAUAACCUACCUAUAAGACUGGGAUAAUUUCGGGAAACCGUAGCUAAUCCCGGAUAAUAUUCUGAACCGCAUGGUUCAAAAGUGAAAGACGGUCUUGCUGUCACUUAUAGAUGGAUCCGCGCUGCAUUAGUUAGUUGGUAAGUUAACGGCUUACCAAGGGAAGGAUGCAUAACCGACCUGCGAGGGGGAACGGCCCCACAGGACCUGAGAAACGGUCCUGACUCCUAGGGGAGGCAGCAGUAGGAAAUCUUGCCAAAUGUGCGAAAGCCUGCCGGAGCAACGCCGCGUUGGUGAUGAAGGUCUGCGGAUCGUAAAACUCUGUUAUUAGGGAAGACAUAUGUGUAAGUAACUGUGCACAUCUUGACGGUACCUAAUCAGAAAGCCACGGCUAACUACGUG